This 797-nucleotide long non-coding RNA is filed under the name Mytilus galloprovincialis (Mediterranean mussel). The record is from RNAcentral. Lineage: Eukaryota; Metazoa; Mollusca; Bivalvia; Mytilida; Mytilidae.
GGCCAGCAAAGCAAAUUCUAUUCAUGAUCAUAUUUCUUAGUUUAUUUACAUCUUCAUUGAGCGAACUGUAGAAAAAGACAUUGAUAAAACUGUUAAUGAAAGACAACACGAGAAAAGAUCGAAUCCAAACCAUUCCGUUUUCGACUUUGUGUGUUAACAAACGGAGUCUUAUAACAAAUAACGGCAAAUGACACGUGACAAAAAUGGCGACCAUUACAAUAAGCAAACGGAUAGCCUUUUGUCUUUUUUGGGUCAUCUGAUCGGAGUUUGACAAGUUUCGUUUAUUAAGAUAUACUGAAACUACUAUAUUUGUGACAAAUAAUACAAUUCCCGGCACUCCAAAUAACAGAAUAAAAUCAGUUAUAAUCAAAGCGUUGUGAUACGGUUGAAUGUUGAUCGGUACGAUGCACCUUUUUUCAAUAAAUGUCAUAUUAUCCAUUGUAAUCUCAGCUUCAAUUACGUCAUACACAAACAAAGCCCUGAACGAGUAGAGAAAGGCAGAAAUCCAUACAAUGACGGCCGUUAUUUUUGACACUUUUUCUUUCGUUUGUUUGUAUUUGAUCGGGGAGAUAAUCGCCCGGAAACGAUCGAUUGCAAUACAGGUCAAGGUCAUUGCACUUGCAAAUGCCGCAGUGAAUUCCAUGUAAAGGCACAUCUUACACAUAACAGGGCUCCAUUCUAAUAUGGUUGAGACAAUGAAAAUCUGAUUUGGUAUGACAAAAAUACCAACACACAGGUCCGCAAUACAAAGGGACGAUAAUAAAAUAUUAUUUGAAGAUUUUUUAACACUUCAUUAA